AGUAUCGCCCCUGGCGAUGAAAAUCACCAUACAGUUAUUGUUGUUGUUGGCGGUGUAACCGGAAGUGCUGCCAUGUUGAGUCUCGUUCCAGUUCUCGCCUGGUACCCCUAGUACCGAUGCAGACCAGCUAUGCACACUGUAGUUGACGGCAGCUAUGGCAAUUGUCACGCCUGUCGACAACAUCGAGGUUUCCAUGUCUGAGACCGUACAUCGGUAUGCAGGCCGGCCUAAGCCCGAGGGAUUACAGCGUCAGCUAGACUCUCACCCUCUCACUGUGAUGAAAUGUUUUGGUUCAUGGUUAAAGUAAGCUGACUAAGCCACAAAAUCACUGGUCCCCUUUCUGGACACUGUACAUGUCACUCGGCGGGGACUAUGGUGGGCAGUUCGUCGUGAUGGAGCCAGAGAUGAAAAAAGAAAAAGAAGAAGAAAAAGAAAGAUGUAAAAGAAAACGGAAAUAUUGACAAAAAAGUUUUUUAUUUUUGCUUUCAGCCGCUCAAAGGUUAAAAAAAAAAAAACUCAAACACUCCAGAUGGCGUUUUUCGUCCUCCAGCACAUAGUGAGGCGCCCGAGUUUUAGUUUCAUAUUCAGCCUACAAAAUACUUGGAUGAGCAGCGGCGAAACAUGGCCAUCGUCAUUCAUCGCUUUCGCUCAGACCGCAGUGUUCAUGGCACUUUUGUAAAAUUUUCGCGUUCGUCCGCUGUGAGACGUUGGAUGCAUUCUCCUUGUGCGCCAACCCCAAGAAAAAGGUUAGACACGUCUCUGCCGAAGGGACCCGUCGCCGUCUGGGGAGCAAUCUCUCACUGCACUUCUCUCCACCGCCAUCUUGAUUGUUUUGAACACGGGAUUCGUACGCUUUGCAUCAUAACUUUGCACUGAGAUGCUCAAUCCCUUUGAAACAUAUACCAGGGGUCUUCAGAGCUUUAUAUGUAAACGACACAAUGUCCCACUUGCAUUGAAUAAUGGUAGGACCUCGGCACGCUGGCACGGGUGGAGUUUUAUUGGGGAACACACUGUAUAUACAUGUCAAUAAACAAGUUGCAGGCUGUA
This is a long non-coding RNA of Ornithodoros turicata, 1047 nucleotides long. RefSeq lists it as uncharacterized. The record is from RefSeq and is a predicted model, not a curated record. The transcript has 2 exons. Lineage: Eukaryota; Metazoa; Arthropoda; Arachnida; Ixodida; Argasidae.